Molecule: non-coding RNA, 111 nt
Organism: Acanthosepion pharaonis
Lineage: Eukaryota; Metazoa; Mollusca; Cephalopoda; Sepiida; Sepiidae
Source: the annotation of a GenBank genome assembly
AUGGCCACAUCACGUUGAAACAUUGGUUCCCAUAUGAUCACUGAAGUUAAGCAAUGUUAUGCCAGUCUAGUACCUAGAUGAGUGAUCACUUGGGAAUACCACAUGCUGUAA